UUGUUGGAGAGUGAUACCAUGUCAGAAGUGAUUCUAGGUAUGUAUUGUUGGAGAGUGAAUCCAUGUCAGAAGUGCUUCUAGGUAUGUAUUGUUGGAGAGUGAUACCAUGUCAGAAGUGGUUCUAGGUAUAUAUUGUUGGAGAGUGAUACCACGUCAGAAGUGGUUCUAGCUUUGUAUUGUUGGAGAGAGUGAUACCAUGUCAGAAGUGGUUCUAGGUAUGAAUUGUUGGAGAGAGUGAUACCAUGUCAGAAGUGGUUCUAGGUAUGUAUUGUUAGAGAGUGAUACCAUGUCAGAAGUGGUUCAAGCUAUGUAUUGUUGGAGAGAGUGAUACUAUGUCAGAAGUGGUUCCAGGUAUGUAUUGUUGGAGAGAGUGAUACCACAUCAGAAGUGGUUGCUAUGUAUGUAUUGUUGGAGAGUGAUACCAUGUCAGAAGUGGUUCUAGGUAUGUAUUGUUGGAGAGUGAUACCAUGUCAGAAGUGGUUCUAGGUAUGUAUUAUUGGAGAGAGUGAUACCAUGUCAGAAGUGGUUCUAGGUAUGUAUUCUGGAGAGAGUGAUACCAUGUCAGAAGUGGUUCUAGGUAUGUAUUGUUGGAGAGAGUGAUACCAUGUCAGAAGUGGUUCUAGGUAUGUAUUGUUGGAGAG
This 641-nucleotide long non-coding RNA is filed under the name Salmo salar (Atlantic salmon). RNAcentral's name for it is "lncRNA (ENSSSAG00000089916.1)". Lineage: Eukaryota; Metazoa; Chordata; Actinopteri; Salmoniformes; Salmonidae. The record is from RNAcentral.